AUUUUGAGGCUUGAUCAGAAUACUGUCUUGCCUCCAUUCUUUUCUCCCGCCCAUGUUUUCUUUCAGGUAAGGGCCUCCUCGGGUUCCGCGCAAUAACUAGGUCCUGCGGGUCGGGACAGGGGACAACACUAUUGGCUCACAGGACAGACCUAGGGUAUCAGAUUGUAUAAAACUGGGUAUGACUCAGGAUUAUAUUUUACUAUACAGGUUAAGGACCCUCCCAGAAAAGCUCACCCUAUAGGGCCCAACAAACCACUUCUAAUUCCAGGACUACCUCAAAGUCUUACAUCUGAGAGAACUCCUGUUUCCCAGGCAACCCCGACUCCGGCUCUAGCCUCUUCAGGUAGUAGCCUAACAGCUAUUAAACCCCAGGCAUUUGACCAGCUACAACCAGAACCCGAAGGAAAAUUAAUAACUAUGUUAACAACAAAACACAAGGACUUAAAUAAGACCUCCCAGACAUAGGGCAGGAUUGUUGGUUGUGCCUAAACCCAAAACCCCUUAUUAUGUCGGGGUAGGAACUCCCUUAAACCUAACUGAGCUCAGCAGCACACAUGACUGUGAAUGGGAAACUCCUCGACUCACCUUGGGAGACAUACGAGGAAAAGGAACUUGCCUGAUUUCAAAAAAUUAUUCCAAGCUGUUGACACAGUCACCUUACUUCGAUAACUGUAAUUGUACUAUCAAAGUAUAGAACUACCUCAGGGAGUAAAUACUAUAAGGCUCCAAAUAAUACUUGGCUAGCAUGUGAUAGUGGGCUCACUCACUGUGCUGCAGCUGUUCUUUUCAACUCAAGUGAGGCUAAUAUUUGUAUCCUAGUCUUUGUGCUCCCCCAAGUGUCCCUUUACAAUGGGCCGGAAGGCAGACUCCACUUCUUCCAUCAGGACAGGUUACAGAAACGGGCCGUACCAGUCUUAGUACUCCUUCUUGUAGGACUCGGAAUAGCGGGUUCAGCGGUGGUAGGCACUACUGCUCUCAUCAAGGGAAAACAUGAAUUACGUGAAAUUGGAAUACAGAUAGAUAAGGAUAUCAAGACCUUAAAAGACACCAUCAGCAGGCUGGAACUUCAAGUCGAUUCACUAGCGGAAGUAGUCCUCCAAAAUAGAAGAGGUUUAAAUUUAUUAUUCUUAAAACAAGAUGGGUUAUAUAUGGCGCUGGGUGAAACCUGUUGCUUCUAUGCCAAUAACUCUGUAGUAAUUAGAGAAGGCUUAUGACUAGUACAGAGAAAUUUGGAUGCCAGGGAAAAACAGAGACUAGAAUCAAAUAACUGGUUUCAUAGGAUGUUCAAAUGGUCACCAUGGCUAACAACUCUUCUAUCUACUGUAGCUGAACCUUUAAUCAUCCUCCUCCUUUUGUUAACUUUUGGCCCAUGUUUCCUUAAUUUCUUGUUUACAUAUAUAAGGAAAAAAAUUAAUUCCAUUAGACUUUUAGUAUUACAGACUAGAGGCUAUGAACAAAUUCCUCAUGAAGAAUCAAAGAUUUGAUCUUUGCUAAGGCCAGUGGGGAAUGUGGUAGCUGAAGAAUAACCACUUGAGAUUUAUUACUUGUAGAAAAAUUACUGUUUGACUAUUGCCAUGGCAACUAAAGGCUUUUGAUCAUAGGGACAUAACAUUCUGAUAACAAGCUUUCUGUUUCUGUACUCCCCGCUUACACACCCCAACCUAUAGGUUGACAGGUAGUGAAUAGGAGAAAAAUAGACCUUUGUGUUCAGAUAGAAUAAAGAAUGGGAUUUUGGGCUUAAAAACCCUGUACCUCUACAUUUCGGGGCUGCUUAAUUUGGGGUCUGCGUACCCCUGGCAGACCUAGCUGGCUGAAUAAAGAGUGUGAUUCCUAUGACUCACUAAUUCCUGGUGGUCCGUGUGUCUUUCAGGGGCUGGCGGCUACAACAGUAUUUACUUUUCCUUGUCUAGGGACUGAGGUGGCACUUCAGCAAGAAACCCAAGACCCUACCCUGACUGAGGCAGAAAAGGAAAGAGCUCCAUAAACUCCUGCAGGCAGGGACUAUGGCCAUUCUCAGCAGAAAGCAGAUACAGAAGAAGAGACCUCCGGUCCCUCAACAUCCAUGCUAAUAAUAAGGGGGUUCAUGGCUCUUAGAAAAAAAGUGAGAGCUCAGCCUUUGGAUAAGGAACCUUCUGAGCGGGCGCAGACAUCAAUGAAUGCUGCUCCCUGUCUGUAAACCUAGGAGUGCCAUCUCUUUGUUCAAGAAUCCGAUAAAGGUGCUGAUAACAUCAAGGGUCUGGAAAUUCCUCCCCUGCAGCCCCCCACCCGAAGCUGCCCCUCUCCACUUUGAGUAAGGAGGGACAUGUAAACCUCAGACAAAAGAAUCACACACCCCUUGCAUGGACACUGCAAGGGUAUAUAAGCUGUAAGCAAUCUAACCAUGCCCCAUGCUCUCCGCCAACAUUAAAUUCUUCCUCUAACAAAGUUGUCUGAGUGUCUGAAUUCCUCCAUCGGCCGGCAUUAAAUUCUCCUUCCUCUAA
Long non-coding RNA from Pteropus alecto (black flying fox), 2480 nucleotides. RefSeq lists it as uncharacterized. Lineage: Eukaryota; Metazoa; Chordata; Mammalia; Chiroptera; Pteropodidae. The record is from RefSeq and is a predicted model, not a curated record. The transcript has 2 exons.